UAGGGAAUCUUCCACAAUGGGCGAAAGCCUGAUGGAGCAACGCCGCGUGUGUGAUGAAGGGAUUCGGCUCGUAAAACACUGUUGUAAGAGAAGAAUGACAUUGAGAGUAACUGUUCAAUGUGUGACGGUAUCUUACCAGAAAGGAACGGCUAAAUACGUGCCAG
This 164-nucleotide ribosomal RNA is filed under the name uncultured bacterium. Its description in RNAcentral is "partial 16S rRNA". It matches the Rfam family "Bacterial small subunit ribosomal RNA", at positions 355 to 511 of the family's 1533-position model. The record is from RNAcentral.